UAAACCCUACGGGGGCAGCAGUGGGGGAUAUUGCACAAUGGGGGAAACCCUGAUGCAGCGACGCCGCGUGAGCGAUGAAGUAUUUCGGUAUGUAAAGCUCUAUCAGCAGGGAAGAAAAUGACGGUACCUGACUAAGAAGCCCCGGCUAACUACGUGCCAGCAGCCGCGGUAAUACGUAGGGGGCAAGCGUUAUCCGGAUUUACUGGGUGUAAAGGGAGCGUAGACGGCAGUGCAAGGCUGAAGUGAAAGGCAAGGGCUCAACCCUUGGACUGCGUUGGAAGCUGUGCUGCUCGAGUGUCGGAUAG
This 305-nucleotide ribosomal RNA is filed under the name uncultured bacterium. RNAcentral describes it as "bacterial SSU rRNA". It matches the Rfam family "Bacterial small subunit ribosomal RNA", at positions 333 to 656 of the family's 1533-position model. The record is from RNAcentral.